Molecule: transfer RNA, 98 nt
Filed under: Acetatifactor muris
Lineage: Bacteria; Bacillati; Bacillota; Clostridia; Lachnospirales; Lachnospiraceae
Description: tRNA-His
Source: RNAcentral
UUCCGGAACUGGAGGAUUGUACGUUCCGGGUGGCCUGUGAUGUCACAAAUCCGCUGUGCGGACCUGUGGGAGCCAGUGCCGUUUUCGGCCCCCAGAAG